UUAAUGUCCAGCGUACGAGGAGUGACAAGAGUGCUAUAUGAGUAGAGUUGUUUUUUUUUUUUUUUUCCUAAAAAGACAACAUUUUUCUUUUAAAUCCGUCCAAAUCACUACAGCAAAAUUAGAUUAUUUGGACAUAUUUUUUGAAUACUUUUGUGUAAGUGUUCUAUUUAUGCCAAAAUUUUUUUAAAAAAUCUACUAAGACUUAAAUACAAAGUCCAAUUCAAUCAAAAACAAAAAAGUUCCGGUGGCUAGAGUUCGACCACGAGGAUCUUGUAGGGACCGUAGAGAAUUACGAUCGCCACGUGUCCCUCUGCCACAGGUCACUAAAGGAGUAAGUGUCAAACAUCAAGAUAAUCCUACAUAUAGCGACUCCACAUAUAGCAAUACUUUUAAAAAGUAUCGGUAAUUUAGCCAGCAACACUUUUUUUUUGAUCUGUACCCAUAUUUAAAAGUAUCACUAUAUACCGUUUUUUUUUAUAAUGAAUCUCUUUCACUUUGCAAAUGCACGCAGAGAGUUAUCAAGAUGAACAAAAUGCUAUCAAUUAAACUCCAAUUUAAUUCAUCGUAUAUACAAAAUUUUUUAUUUUUUUGAUAUUUUAUUACUGCUUAUCGAAGUAGAGAAGUUAUUAUUCUAU
RNAcentral lists this long non-coding RNA (635 nucleotides) under Ananas comosus (pineapple). Its description in RNAcentral is "long non-coding RNA (ACOM_LNC032924)". Lineage: Eukaryota; Viridiplantae; Streptophyta; Magnoliopsida; Poales; Bromeliaceae. The record is from RNAcentral.